This 552-nucleotide ribosomal RNA is filed under the name uncultured Latescibacterota bacterium. Its description in RNAcentral is "bacterial SSU rRNA". It matches the Rfam family "Bacterial small subunit ribosomal RNA", at positions 355 to 897 of the family's 1533-position model. The record is from RNAcentral. Lineage: Bacteria; Pseudomonadati; Candidatus Latescibacterota.
UCGAGAGGCUUUGGCAAUGGGGGAAACCCUGACCAAGCGACGCCGCGUGGAGGAUGAAGGCCCUUGGGUUGUAAACUCCUUUUGUCGGGGAAGAAAUGCGAUCAGGUAAACAAUCUGGUCGUUUGACGGUACCCGACGAAUAAGCUCCGGCUAACUCCGUGCCAGCAGCCGCGGUAACACGGGGGGAGCAAGCGUUGUUCGGAAUCACUGGGCGUAAAGGGCGUGUAGGCGGUCAAGUAAGUGGGAUGUGAAAUGCCCCGGCUUACCCGGGGAGCGUCAUCUCAAACUGCUUGGCUAGAGUAUGGGAGAGGAUGAGGGAAUUCCUGGUGUAGCGGUGAAAUGCGUAGAUAUCAGGAGGAACACCGGUGGCGAAAGCGCUCAUCUGGCCCAAUACUGACGCUGAGGCGCGAAAGCUAGGGGAGCAAACGGGAUUAGAUACCCCGGUAGUCCUAGCCGUAAACGGUGAGCACUAGGUGUUGGAGGCAUCGACCCCUCCAGUGCCGCAGCUAACGCAUUAAGUGCUCCGCCUGGGGAGUACGGCCGCAAGGUUGA